GAGGGUGUAGCUCAGUGGCAGAGUGCGUGCUUAGCAUGUACAAGGUCUUGGGUUCAAUUCCCAAUACUACCA
Molecule: transfer RNA, 72 nt
Filed under: Camelus bactrianus (Bactrian camel)
Lineage: Eukaryota; Metazoa; Chordata; Mammalia; Artiodactyla; Camelidae
Also listed under: 2 other names
Rfam family: tRNA
About the family: Transfer RNA (tRNA) molecules are approximately 80 nucleotides in length. Their secondary structure includes four short double-helical elements and three loops (D, anti-codon, and T loops).
Source: Rfam by way of RNAcentral